AGGCCUAACACAUGCAAGUCGAAGGAUAAAUCAGACUUCGGUCUGAUGGAAACUGGCGCACGGGUGAGUAACGCGUGGGAACAUGCCCAAGGGUACGGAACAACACGGGGAAACCUGUGCUAAUACCGGAUAAGUCCUAACGGAGAAAGUUUUAAUGCCAAAAGAUGAGCCCGCAUUUGAUUAGCUAGUUGGUAAGGUAAAAGCUUACCAAGGCGACAAUCAAUAGCUGAUUUGAGAGGAUGAUCAGCCACACUGGGACUGAGAUACGGCCCAGACUCC
Molecule: ribosomal RNA, 279 nt
Filed under: unidentified marine bacterioplankton
Lineage: Bacteria
Description: partial 16S ribosomal RNA
Rfam family: Bacterial small subunit ribosomal RNA
Source: RNAcentral